Molecule: long non-coding RNA, 825 nt
Organism: Megachile rotundata (alfalfa leafcutting bee)
Lineage: Eukaryota; Metazoa; Arthropoda; Insecta; Hymenoptera; Megachilidae
Source: RefSeq, a predicted model, not a curated record
CGUCAAAUUUAAUAAUAUAAAUGAUUAUAUGAUGAUAAUUAAUUCAACACUUAAAAAUAAUGAAAAAAUUUGUACCUGGCAAUAGGAAAAUAGGUAGUCAAACCUUCUAGCAUAUUGUACUUCUAUGCAUGGGUAAAGGACAGAGACUUAGUGAGACUUUUCCCAGAAAAUUAUCGACGUGAUCGACUCUUUUUAUGGAAAAAGUCUGAUAAAAAAAAUUAAAUUCAUGUUGGUAAUUUUUCCAAAUACUGAAUGGCUGAUUUACUUCUGAAAGAAACGAAAUUCUAAUCAUUUUAUCUAUUACUUAUUAACUAAAAUUUGGUAAUUGAACAACAAAUUUCGAUCAAUAUCAAUUUACUUAACAAAUCAUGGGUAAAGGAUUAUAAAGCGAAUGUAAAUCAAAUUACGAAGAUAUAUCGAAAAACCUGAUAAUCAUUUUCAUCACCUUUUUCGACUUGUUGAGGCUUAAGUAAAAAGUGACUUAAAAAAAAUAUUACAAAUGAUUUCAUAAUAUGCUACAUUAAUUUAUUAUUGCCUAAUGAAUUUUGGUUAUGCCUAAAUUUAUAACUAAAUAGUUUAAUAAAUGAUCAAAAACAUGUACCAUUGUUUACGUCUAAGCUAUAACAUAUAUAUAUACAUAUGUAGUUAAAUUUAGUCACCUAUCAUCAGUAUACAUUUUGACGAAGUGCCAACUUUAAAACAGGCAGGCGGUCUGAAAUGCCAUAUGAGCUAGUCAAUUAAAUACUAAUCUAAAAUUAUGCGUUCCCUUUUUAAAUGGUAAUAAAAUUCUUGAAAAUUGCACAAUAAACAGUAACUAAAAAUUUA